Astatotilapia calliptera (eastern happy) is the source of this 1034-nucleotide long non-coding RNA. Lineage: Eukaryota; Metazoa; Chordata; Actinopteri; Cichliformes; Cichlidae. The record is from Ensembl.
GGCGAGAAGGGAACUGGCAGGGAGAGAGAGAGGGCAGAAGUUGGAUGGCGCUAUCCUUUGUCGCCGUAUUUCGGCACACAAACAGCUGCCGAGCGUCUCCGUGAUCCGUGAAAUUACACCUUUGCCGCUGUUUCACGCCGUGGUGGCUCCUCGGUGUCAUCCGACAAACGGUGCGUAUUCAGGGCUAAACUAGCCAGUCUGCUAGCACUUUCCAACGUUACGGAGAGGCUGCUGCUCCAGCUGUACUUUAACAUUAAUGCACGCACAGAAGCAUUAUAAGUUUACUAACAAGCCGGGCUGACGGGGGUUGUGAUUUUGGCGUCGAUUAACCAGCAUCGCCGCCUUGGCACUGCACAGAUUAACCGGGCAGGUAUAGUCUUUAAUUAAGUUGUAAUAGAGGCGGAAUGACCGUGAUGCUAUUCACGGAGCCCUGUCUCAUUUCACUGCCGUAAUCAUUUAGGUUUAUUUUUUAGCAGCAGGUUAGCCAGUAAAGUUAACCAACAGCUGCUAUGGGGGAGAGUUGAUCACACGAUCGAAAACUUUUGCGAUCAUAGCAGGAAAGCUGUGUUACAACUGAUCACGAACUGUGUGUGAAACCGUCAUCAGAUCUGCAGCCCCGCGGACAGGAUGAUGGAAGAAUCGGUGACCACAUUUGAGACGCAUCUGACCGCCGUCAUGGACAGCCUGAUCCGUGCCUCGGUGUGCGAGAUCACCAAACUCUUCCAGGAGACAGUGAACGACUACCUGGUGGAGCUGUCCCUCAACAGGAAGGAGAACGAGGCUCUCAAACUGCGGCUGAGGCUCACAGAGAGCAAACUGAGAACCGAGCGCAAGUACGGCAUGGGCUGGGCUGCCAACCGCCGCAACGCCGGGCUGGUGGCGGCAGCAGCACCGGUGGAGGAAGCUGGAGGCCGGCAGAAGCGAAAACUUGACGUGACUCGAGGCAAGUCAAAAAAAGGCCCAGCAGCAGCCUAUGGCAAAGCGUGGCCUGGAGGUGUGUGGGAGGAAGGAGGAGGAGGAGGUGGUGGCGGUGC